Thalassophryne amazonica is the source of this 390-nucleotide long non-coding RNA. RefSeq lists it as uncharacterized. NCBI's taxonomy places the organism in Eukaryota, Metazoa, Chordata, Actinopteri, Batrachoidiformes, Batrachoididae. The record is from RefSeq and is a predicted model, not a curated record. The transcript is spliced from 2 exons.
CAAGAUUUCUUUUGACUUGGAAAGUCCUUUGUGAAGUUGAAGUUUUGGGGUUUCUGUCUCAUAAUUUCUUUGACUUGAAAAGUCUUGUGUUUGUAAAGUUGAAGUUUGGUAGUUUCUGUCUCAUAAUUUAUUUGACUUGGAAAGUCUUGAAUUUGUAAAGUUGAAGUUUGGUAGUUUCUGUCUCAUAAUUUAUUUGACUUGGAAAGUCUUGAAUUUGUAAAGUUGAAGUUUUGGGGGUUUCUGUCUCCAGAUUUCUUUUGACUUGGAAAGUCCUUUGUAAAGUUGAUGUUUUGUGAUUUCUGUCUCAUCAUUUCUUUGACUUGGAAAGUCUUGAGUUUGUAAAGUUCAGGUUUUGUGGUUUCUAUCUCAUAAUUUCUUUGACUUGGAAAA